This 1932-nucleotide long non-coding RNA is filed under the name Homo sapiens (human). RNAcentral's name for it is "long intergenic non-protein coding RNA 299". The record is from RNAcentral. Lineage: Eukaryota; Metazoa; Chordata; Mammalia; Primates; Hominidae.
GCGUCUAAAUGGCUCAGGCAGCCCUUCAACCCAGCACACCAUGGAAUCACUCUAUUUCCUGGGCUCUUCUGUUCAACCUCCUGCAUUUCUGUUUUUUUAUCUGUAAAUUGGGGCUAAUACUCACCUUCCAAGUUUGUUAAAUAGAAGUUAAAUAAGAUUUAUCUAUAAAUCUUGCAUCUAUCUAUCUUUCUUUUUAUCUAACUAUCUGUCCAUCUGUCUGACUGUAUAUCUAUCUGUCUAUCUACCAUGUCUGGCGCAUAACACACGAAGUUAGGGAGGCACCAAAGCUGGAAUAAACAUUGGUUCCCUUCUCACUGUGAGCUCCUCUGCUCCCUUUUCCAGCCUCCAUGUAUAUAGCCUCAGAUUCGACAGAGCAGGAUUGAAGUUUUUGCCUGUUAGUUUGUUUUCUUUGUCUUGUCCAAUAUCUCUUCUCCAUGGCUCCGGGCCUUCUGCUUUGCUGUUUUAAGCGCACACUGAGCUCACCAGGGAGAACCUGUGUCUGAAGCCACCCCCUGCGACUGCCCUGAGCAGAGUCAGUUUUCCAGGCUCCAUGUAGUGUCCUCAUCCUGCAUUCUUCCUUCACACCCCCCAAGCCUCCUUCUGCCUCUGCGCGAUCCUCUGCGUGGACGCAUUUCAGAGGCACGGACAUCAUUGUAACAGAGGUGGUUUCAUAUCACUUCCUUGUCUUUUGUUUCCCAGCCUUGGAGGAGGCUGUCUGCAAACACUGGCAGUAUUCUUAGAGGAAGCUUGGGUUUGGGGCCUAGACACAUCCAGUCUCCAUGAAACGAUGAGAACAGCUGUCCUGAAAUGACAGAGCAAGAAACCUGCGCAGCAACAGCCUCAGAGAGGCCCCUUAAUAUACCUUCUCUACUAUGAAAAAUCAGAUUUUGUGAACAAUUUGGCAUGAGGAGAGAAAGGAACCUGAAGUUUUUAGCAAGGAAGCUUCCUGUCUCCAAGGGGAUUUUUUCCCACAGAAAUAUAUUGCUGAUUGGAUGUUGCCUCUCUAAUUUUGGAGACCAUAUGUUCUAGGUAUUCCGGGAAAAAUCUGCAUUUCAAAUCCUGGAUCCAUUGUUCCCAAAAGCCAUGUAAGAAUCCCAACAGAGAUAGGUCCCUCUCAUGGAUAUGUCCUAUGUCCCAGGGAUACCGCUCAAAGCAUUUUGUGGCUGAAGACAUUUAAUCUUUCAUAGAAACUCCUGAAGAAGAUGUUAUUGCUAUUAUAAUCAUAUGUAUUUGGAAAUGAAGACUUUGAAAGGUUCUAACUUAUUCAACAUUUCUCAACCAGCAUGUGGCAAAGUUCUGAAAGUCUGUUAUUCUAACCAACAUCCUACCUUGAGGAGCAAUGAUGUUCACCUGUCUGGUUGCCACAACUCACGUCCUUCUGUGGGCAGCAGAGUUCCAAGACGUUCCCCAAGAUCUCAUUUUCUGGAGGUGCAUGUCUCCCGUGACCCCCUCUUUGGAUUGCCCGCAGAGCCCGUGAAGAUGGUGUUAUCACUCCUGUGAUUACUUUACUGAUCAGGUGACUUUGAGUCAAUCAAAAGGUAGAUUAUCCAGGUGUGCCUGAUUUGAUCAGGUGGUCCCUUAAGGAGGCUUAAAAUGACCCUUUCUGAAGUAGAGUAAUUGGAAAAGUAAGAGGGUCUAUGGGUGGGGUCACCUGGCAAGGAACUGAACUCAGCCUCCAUGAGCUCUGGCCACCAGCUGACCUUUAGCAAGAAAGCAAAUCUUUCUUUGGUCAGUCUCCACAACAGGACGAAGCUGGCUGAGCCCUUGCCUUUGGCCCUGUGAGAUGCUGACCCGAGUAUCCAGCGAACACGUGCCAGAGUCCUGACCCAUGGAAACUGAGAUGAUGAGUCUGUGUUGCUUUAAGCCACUGUGUCUACAGUAAUUGGUUAGACAGCAAUAGAAAACUAAUAAACCUCCCUCUUUUUCAUUUAC